RNAcentral lists this long non-coding RNA (449 nucleotides) under Homo sapiens (human). RNAcentral's name for it is "long non-coding RNA NONHSAT188656.1". Lineage: Eukaryota; Metazoa; Chordata; Mammalia; Primates; Hominidae. The record is from RNAcentral.
CAUUCUCACACAGGGCGCCGUGCCAAGCCUGAUCUCCCGUAGUCCUCACAGACCCUCCGCGGAACGAGAGAUCUGUUGUCCCAGGGUGAGGAAGCAAAGGCACAGAAGAGCUGAAGCGAUUUGCCCACAGUCACAAGGGCACUGGACUUUAAGGGCCAAGAGUGAAGACCAUUUUGUCCUGUUCUCUGGCACACAGUAGGCACUCGACAACUAUUUCAAAACUAAAGGAAUAAGCAAGUGGCCUCAUGGCUACUGAGGACAGAGUCUGGAACUGAAUGCAGGGCACUCUGAAGCUGGAGCUCACUUCUACAUUAUUGCCUUUCUCAUGCUACUAGCAGGCACUGAAUGUGUCAGUGAGUGAAUGAAUGAAACCAAGAUCUCAGGAUCCCAGUCAAGUGCUCCCUGAGUUUCAUUUCCUGGUAGUGUGGACAUGAGCCAAGCUCCAGCCA